GCAGAGUGACUGGGGUGGCAGAUAAAAGCAAUAUUUAUACGCAGUCAAAAAUGUACGCCGACAGUACAAGGGAUAAAUUAUGCAUUGAAAUGUAAAUUCCCUCACCCUCAUCGCGUUUGGUUUGACGAUAAAAGCCGACCACCCAGCACUUAGAAUCCCAGGAAAUCGCGUCCGAUAUCCAACGUAAGGGCGCAAGAGGAAAAAAAUUGAGCCACGACGCCAGCGACGCUGCACUGUCGCGACUGCUUGUGAUUAAUGAAACUCUUACUUAUUGAUGUGGAAACGACCGUAUCUACACACAACGUAGCUAACUAUUUA
RNAcentral lists this unclassified non-coding RNA (318 nucleotides) under Melitaea cinxia (Glanville fritillary). RNAcentral's name for it is "misc RNA ENSMCXG00005018051.1". The record is from RNAcentral. Lineage: Eukaryota; Metazoa; Arthropoda; Insecta; Lepidoptera; Nymphalidae.